CGAGGCCAUAGCCAAGUCGGCUAAGACAGAAACCGUGCUGCUGCGAUCCAAUUCCACGGCCAUGGCCACAGCGAUGGCUAUGGCAUUGGCUAUGGCGUGCGGGAGCAGGAGAAGGUGGAGGAGACCUCGACACUGAGCAGAAGCGCCAAUGUUGCAUGCAUCUCGUCGUGGCCUCGGCUUCUUCGCGUGAGUGAUGGAGGUUUAGGAGCAUCUGUCCGCUGCUUGCAUUGACCUGAUAGAGGAGCUCGGGUCGAAUUUUUCAUAAAAUGCAAUCUGUCAUGUACGAGGAUCCCGAAGUGCAAUCUGUCAAUGCAGUAUCUAACACCUUCAAACAAACUAAGUGAAGGUUUCUAAUUUUGCAUGUUUCGAUUGGUUUGUGGUUACUUAAUGAUAGUGAACUACGAUGCGUGUCCUCUCCCUGCAUCAGCAAAAAAGAAAAAAAAAAAUGGUAGCCGGGAGGCCAAGGUGGUCAAGUUCUGCAGUGUUUUUUUCUUAUUUGAACUAGGAGGGAAGGCGUAUGUCGUACACAAGGAUGUUACUUAGUGGUAACAGUUUCAGCUCUUCAUGAAUUCUGAACUCCAAUUUGGGCGAGAAGUUUGAAAGCUAUAGAGUUGGAAAUCCAUGGUGCACAAGGAUUGAAUCUUACAUAGCAGGUCUCUGUACACUGGUGCCUUUAUUCACCUUUUUUUCUAAGACUUCUUCAAUAUGUAAUCCUGAAGUAAUGCACGUACUCCAGCAUGGAGCACGAAGGAUGCCAGUUACCGAAUGUGCAAGUUGUGCAUGCUAGGAAGCUGUCUAAAUAUUGCUCAUGUAUUGUCAAAGCUUAAGGGUUUGCAUUUGAUUGCAUAUUAGUCGAUUCUUCAGUUCUCAGUACAGCUUACUUUUCAGUUUUUAAGUCCUUCACAUUUAGAAGACUGUCGAUAUUAUUGUGCGAAUUUAGUGCCUACAAGAAAUCCUGCUUGAAAAAUUGGUUCCUUAUAUUAAGCAGUUAACCUUCAGUGUGGAUGAAGUUCAAAGAUUCAAGCUUGCUCAAGAGAUUUACUAAGAUUUAAGAGAAAAAAGGGUCUUAGAUUUUAAGUGUGCUGAACGACAAUGAGAACGAUGGUGUCUAGAAUGAAAGACAAUCUCCUGCAAUUUCUUGUGACGUUUCUGUGAAAAACAUAAACGCGUAGUAGUAUGUUUUAGAAAUUUUCUGUCUGUUGCGAUGAUGGAAAAGUGCUCACAAAUAGUGGGUCUUACAAACAGGUGUUGGUUAGUAACCCUUGACGAGGAUUCGUGUGCCUUUUAUUCAAAAAUGCCUGGAUGUAAACAUUGCUAUCAGUACUUAAGGUAGAUGGACUGCAUUGCAGUGAUUUGGACAUACUGGAAAGGUUUGAACUGGAAAACUUUGGAUUUAUUCCGCUUCUUACGGAUUUCAUCUACAUUGUGUAGGGCUAUCUCGAGAGAAAUUUGAAAACUGGAGAUCUACAACCAUUUGAAAAUUUUCAAGUCAGCUCAGCUGCUGAAGUAUUAAAUUAUAGACAGGUUCCCACGAUUGGGAAGGAAUCGUUUUAUAUCCGACUUGCUCAUUAGUUCCAGCUCAAUUUUGGGUUUAGCACCUGCAUCGAAGGGGGAAUUAUUUCCGAUAAAUCUUAUACUUCAGACUUGUUUUUCUUGUGCUGCUCUUGGUGGGAUUGUAGGUGCUCAAAGCCCAAGUUCAAGUUUUAGGGAAAAGGUAUGCAGAUGUCCAUUCUAAAGACGCUGUAGAGGAGAAGUAUGUGGAAGAGGUCUCUUUUUGCAAUGUAUUCAUGGUUGACGAUUGAAAAUUUAUAACAGAAUCACUUUUAAUUUCUUGCAAAAUAUACAUUACAAUGUAAUUGUUGUGGUGUUAUGUGAUCUGGCCGGUUCAGGUGAUCGAUCUGAUUAUGCAAAUCCAAAAAGUUGUUGCUUUUUUAAUCCUUUUCAGCGGAUCUUCAAUCUGAAGGGAUGUUUUGGUUUGAUCAAACAUAACACUUUUGUUGGACAAAGCUCUCUCAACUCCAGAAUUGGCUGGAACAAUCAGUCCUGGAAUUAUAAGAAAGAGCCUAAUCCAAUUAGCACGCAGCCACGAUUAUGCGAUAUUUGCUUCAACAAGUGUGUGAUUUGAUUAUCAUAUAUGCUGGUUACCUAUGUCAACUAUGCAGCUUGCGUGCAUGGAUGGAUUUAUCAAAAUAAGUAAAAAAUAACUGUCUCCAUGCUGCCCACUUGCUGUGGACUGCAAUACAUACUUGGAAGCUUGCACAAAGAUGGGAGGCCGUCGAGAGCCUUCUUUUUUAUCCUCAAACUAAUUUUCAAUUUUCCCAGGUCAAUGAGCGAGCAGGGACUGGAUGAUCUACUAGCUGCUGAUGAGGUGUUCUGCACUGGAACUGCUGAACCCUAAAUCGCCAUGGGAAACCAUCACAUUCGGCACAAGCUGGCAGCGCCAAUAUUGCCUCAAAUGUGAUUUUGUUUCUUAUAGUUUUACACUACUGCGCUUAUUAUUAUGCAAGGGAGGUUACGUGAAUCGUUGUGGCAGAGGGAUGCCAUUGUCCCCUCCUUGUGUCAAUUUGUGAAUGAAUCAAGCUAAUUAUGAUCAUAGCGUUUCUGAUUUGUCCAUUCUGUUCUUCAGGGUUCUUUGUUUUUUAUUUUUCGCCACAAGCAAAGCUUUGUUAUUUGACUUGAGUUCGCAAUGCAGAAUGAAAUUGUACAUUUCUGUAGCAGCGCUUCUAUUCUCAGCUUGUGAAAGCUGCAAGUGGAGCCCAUGUGUAAUCUUUGGUGGUAUUUUAAGAAAAGAAAUCCUCGUCAGCCCACUAUUUCUAGCUCACUGGUACUUGAGUUUUCCCACAAAAAUUGAAUACUUUAAGUUCUGGAUGGCCUAACACAAGUAGGGUGAUAGGCCUUUCAAUUGCAAGCACCUGAAGACCGCCUUAUGGUGUACCGGAAGCAGAUUACAUUUCGACAGGGUAGACGAUUCCCGCAUGUGCUUUAUGGACGUGUAAUUGGGAGAUUGAAACUGGAAUUGGGAGUACUGAAAGUUUCAUCCCUCUAUGUGAACACAUCCCCUCACUCAUGGGCAUGCGCAUGAAGGCAGCAGGUCCUUAAACGUAUUCCAACACUGAAACGAAGCAAGUUCUGUGGUUUAGGAUGCAGUAUUUCUCAGCCUGGGCGAAAGGUAUAUCAUCAGUCUUCAGGCUCUUGUGAGUGUUGAGACAGUCGGCCGCCAGGGCAGUACUACUACAGUGGCCUCUGCUGCUAGUGUCCGGCAUUAGUUCUAUGUGACCCUCCUCUACAAUUCUUUUAUUUUUAUUUCUUAUUUCUUUUAAAAUGAGCCUUUCUAUGAGCUCAACAAGUGGGUUGAGGUGGAUGAAAUAGAUGAAUGGGUUACAUGGGAUGGUCAAUUCUAUGCAGCCAAGCUGGCCCUACUGAAGACCACCACCAGUACUUGAAGUUCACAGAAGGCCACAUGUGAGCUUAUGGGCAUAGUUCCAGCUUUGCACCUGCUAUACAUGGUUCUGCAAUGGUCAGGCUUUUUUCUUUCUUCACCCUCUUAGCCAUGCAUACUAGCUCCGAGAUGAUGUAGGCUUUGGGGCCUCCAGUUCAGCAUAUGCCACAAGUAUAUAGAUUAUUUUUAUACAAUUAAAAAUGUGUUUCCCCUUCCCACAGAUGGAUGAAAUACUACUGCAUGGAAACUAUUUGAGAACA
Non-coding RNA from Physcomitrium patens, 3699 nucleotides. The record is from RefSeq and is a predicted model, not a curated record. Lineage: Eukaryota; Viridiplantae; Streptophyta; Bryopsida; Funariales; Funariaceae.